GAAGUCGCUCUCAGCAGAUGGCGGAGCCAGAAAGGAGACGGUUUCCCCCUGGAGUCGGGCCGCUUCGCAGCCGGGCUCUCCUCUGACUGCCCUGGCCAAACUCCACGUUCUGCCGGAGUUUAGGAGGGUUUAAUGAGACUACUUCCACGGUUCAGUGAGGUUGUCCAGGACCCAGGCACUUUCCAGGUGUAGGCUCUGCCACAGUGUUCUUCCAAUGAUGAUAUUCCAGAUGAAGGAGGGCCUUAUUGGUAAGUCUCAUUUCCCAAGGAAUCAAGACGUCUGGAAUCCAGGAUACCAGAAGAGAUAACAGUUUUGCAAAAAAGGAAAGGUCCUCAUCAAUGAAGAUCCAAAGAAAGAAGGCCCAUGUGUGGGAUAUAGAUGUUUUAAGUAGGUAGGUGUUAUAAAAAAGAGCUAGGAUGGCCUUUGUGUGUUGAUCUCAAAGUUGUUUAUUUCUUCACAGCAAGCUCAGACCUGUUAGCUCAAAAGCCUGCUCAUGCCAAACUCAGAUUUUUAUACAUCC
Molecule: long non-coding RNA, 520 nt
Filed under: Macaca fascicularis (crab-eating macaque)
Lineage: Eukaryota; Metazoa; Chordata; Mammalia; Primates; Cercopithecidae
Description: lncRNA (ENSMFAG00000058705.1)
Source: RNAcentral